UGUCUGUCUCCCCACAUUUCACUACUCGAACUUCAAUGAUCUAGCUUCUACAUCAAAAUCGUCAGUUAAGAAUCUGCCACAGAUCGAGAAAAUGGUGAUGGCUAUCGAGCAAGAACACCCCAAGAAGGCAUCUGGAUGGGCUGCAAGAGAUUCAUCUGGUGUUCUCUCUCCCUUCAAUUUCUACAGAAGGUACAUUGGCAACUAGUAUAACAUGUUCUUCCUCUUCGCAUUCGCAAUAAUACAUUUGUUCCGUGUUUCUAAAGUUGAUACAAUUGAUUUGAUUACAGGGAAACCGGAGAGAAAGACGUGACGUUCAAAGUGUUGUACUGUGGGAUUUGCCAUUCGGACCUUCACAUGGUCAAGAAUGAAUGGGGCUUCUCUACCUAUCCUCUGGUUCCAGGGUACGAUAGCUUUUUCUUUACUACCAGGACAUGCACUCUUUACUAGUGUAAUCAGUAAUCUAAUCUGAGCACAAUUUGGCAAUGCAGGCAUGAGAUUGUUGGUGAAGUUACGGAAGUAGGGAGCAAAGUACAAAAAUUUAAAGUUGGAGACAGAGUCGGUGUUGGAUGCAUUGUGGGAUCUUGCCGAUCUUGUGAAAAUUGUACCGACCACCUUGAGAACUACUGCCCCAAACAGAUACUCACUUACGGUGCCAAGUACUACGACGGAAGCACCACCUAUGGCGGUUACUCUGACAUUAUGGUGGCCGAUGAACACUUCAUAGUACGCAUCCCAGACAACUUGCCUCUUGAUGGUGCUGCGCCGCUCCUAUGUGCCGGGAUUACAACCUACAGCCCCCUGAGAUAUUUCGGACUUGACAAGCCCGGCAUGCAUGUAGGUGUGGUCGGCCUAGGCGGUUUAGGCCACGUCGCCGUGAAGUUUGCCAAGGCUAUGGGAGUGAAGGUUACAGUGAUCAGUACGUCCCCUAAGAAAGAGGAGGAAGCUCUUAAACACCUAGGAGCUGACUCGUUUUUGGUUAGCCGUGACCAAGAUCAAAUGCAGGUAGUUUUUCGAACAAGUUACACCUUUUACAACGUUUAAAUGGACAAAAAAAUGAACAAGUUACUUAAUUUUUGUGUCAUUGAUUAAUUUGUAGGCUGCCAUUGGUACCAUGGAUGGGAUCAUUGACACAGUUUCUGCACAACAUCCUCUCCUGCCUUUGAUUGGUUUGUUGAACUCUCAUGGAAAGCUUGUUAUGGUUGGUGCACCAGAGAAGCCUCUUGAACUUCCAGUUUUUCCUUUACUCAUGGGUAAGCAUUAUAGCAUGUAACUAGAGGUCUAGAGUAGUGAUCUUUACCUGUUAUCUUCUGUGCGCAUUGUUGGGUUAUUAACAGAGUUUAAUGUUCGUCUUAACAGGAAGAAAGAUGGUAGCUGGUAGCGGCAUUGGGGGUAU
This 1393-nucleotide long non-coding RNA is filed under the name Fragaria vesca (wild strawberry). RNAcentral describes it as "long non-coding RNA (FVES_LNC000377)". The record is from RNAcentral. Lineage: Eukaryota; Viridiplantae; Streptophyta; Magnoliopsida; Rosales; Rosaceae.